CCUCCUGUCAGGAAACUACCUAGUGACGGACUCCAUUUCCCAGGAGACCAUGGGUAGAUUAUCCAUAUGACACACUGAUCUUUCUCUCUCCUUAUCAUUGCAGGUUUAUUUUGCUCAACAAGUCCUGCCUGCUAAAUUAUUGGGUGACCCCCUUUAUGUUAAAGUGAUAAUUCACUGUACAACUUUCUUUAUUAAAAUUGUGUGGCUGACACCACCUUUCUGUUUCAUUUGUGGGUGACCCCCACCACAACUACUGCCAACAAUAUUUUGCGUGGUUGACACCACCCUGCUUAUUUUGUGGGUGAUCCCCACUUUCUUUUACUACUUAACUCCACCAUAACUACUGCCUAUAUUAAAAAAAAUAAAAAAUGUAAAAAAAAAUUGGCAGAUACCACUUUGUUAUUUGUGAGUGACCCCCACUUUAGUUUGACAGGGUCCUCUAUAGUGGGCAACCCUACCUCGUUGGGCUUACUUGUCUGAAUAUAUAUCUACGUUUUAUUGCUGUUCACCAUUUGUUAAAGGGUGACCCCCUUUCUUAAUUGUGCCUAAUAAUUGUGGGUGACCCCCACUGGUUUUUCAGUUCGUGUGGGUGACCCCCACCUCUCCAUUAUACUAGUUGAGUUGCCUCAUUUUUUAUUUAUUUUUUGUCACUUAUCAACACUGCCUUAUAUAAUUUCACUACACUUACCUGUAGUUACUAAUCUGCCCUUUGUCAAUCCCAUAAAUGAAACAUUAAAAAUGUCGGAACACCAAGACCCUGCUAUUUCUGCAGAACUUCGGGAUUGGCUAUUUGCCACCAUUGCAGAGUCCAUUCCCAAAGCUCUGGCAGCUUAUCAUGAGCAAUCUACUACAGAGGUUCAUCCCUCUACACGCCAACCCUCUGACUCAGAGGAUUCUCACCUUUCAGACCAAGAAAGUGCCCCGCGCAAAAGACCCUGGAAAGGGAAUGGCGCUACUGCAGGCAAAGGCAAAGCUCCCGCGAAAAUCCUCAAACAUUUACUAUGUAGAACCCGUCAGACCCUCUAGAGGUCUCUACUUCCAGAUUAGCUGGUCAUAUUUUAAACGACUAUGACACCACCUACUCUGAUGAGGAUCCUACGGUGAAUAUGCCCCAGGAUUCCUC
This is a non-coding RNA of Pelobates cultripes (western spadefoot toad), 1123 nucleotides long. Lineage: Eukaryota; Metazoa; Chordata; Amphibia; Anura; Pelobatidae. The record is from the annotation of a GenBank genome assembly.